AUGUACAUUCCUACAACAUAGUGUUAAUGCAUUGAAUCCCAUUAGAACUUUGCGGUUAAGCACACUUGGGCUAGAGUAGUAUUGGGAUGGGUGACCGACUGAGAAGUCUUAGUGUUUUACAUG
Non-coding RNA from Picea glauca (white spruce), 123 nucleotides. Lineage: Eukaryota; Viridiplantae; Streptophyta; Pinopsida; Pinales; Pinaceae. The record is from Rfam.